This 753-nucleotide ribosomal RNA is filed under the name Triticum aestivum (bread wheat). Its description in RNAcentral is "partial small subunit ribosomal RNA". The record is from RNAcentral. Lineage: Eukaryota; Viridiplantae; Streptophyta; Magnoliopsida; Poales; Poaceae.
AUGAUUAUCCUUGCCUGGAACUGCCGAGGAUUGGGGUUGGACUCGGCAGUCGGCGAGCUUCGAGACCUGAUUAGGUCGUACAACCCAGAGGUGGUGUUUUUGUGAGAAACUAAAAAGAGAGCGGGAGCGAUGGACAUGCUCAAAUGGAGUUUGGGGUUCUCAAAGGGGGUGGCGGUGGACUGUAAAGGAAAGAGUGGUGGGUUGGCGCUAUGGUGGAGAGACCAUGUUGAUGUUUCAGUCAAGCCGUGGUGCCAAUACUACAUAGAUGCUACAAUGGUAUGUGACGGAGUCUCCUUUAGAUUCACUGGAAUCUACGGAGAACCAUGUGUGGAGAAAAGAAUGAGGACGCGGGAUGCACUUCGCUAUCUUCGUGCUCAAGAUAAUUUGUCGUGGCUGUGCGUAGGCAACUACAAUGAGGCACGAAGCCAUGAGGAGCAGCUAGGAGGUAACCCAAGGAACAGAAGGCAGAUGGAACAGUUUGAGGAAUGCUUGACCGACUGCGGUUUGGCAGACCUCGGAUUUUCGGGGUACCCGUUUACUGGGGAUAACAAGUGGGAAGGCCUGGAAAACAUACAGGUACGUUUGGACCGGGCAACGUGCAACGGAGACUUUGCUCAACUCUUUCCGGCCACAGAAGUGAUACAUGUCAUGACGGAAGAGUCGGACCACCAGGCGUUAGUAAUAAAGGUCAGACGACAGAGGCGAGAGGGGGCAGCGUCCAUUUAUGUACGAGGCGGCGUGGGUGUGGCAUGA